AUGGCUCCUACUGCUGCCCUUCCAUGUGAUGAUGCCGGCCGUGAGCUCCCUCACGUUGCCAUCUUCCCGUUCAUGGCGAGAGGCCACACCGUCCCGCUCACCCACCUGGCGCACCUCCUACUACGCCGGCGCCUCGCCACCGUGACCUUCUUCACCACCCCGGGCAACGCGGCCUUCGUACGUGCCGCUCUGCCCGACGGCGUCGACGUGGUCGAGCUCCCGUUCCCGGACGGGGACGGCCGCGCUUCGCAGGGUGCGGAGAACGUCGAGGGUAUUGCGUCGGCGUCCUCCUUCGCCGCCUUCGCAGAGGCCACGACGGGGCUGCGGCCGCGCUUCGAGGAGGCGCUCGCGGCCAUGCGUCCCGCCGCCAGCCUGCUCGUCGCCGACGGGUUCCUGUACUGGGCCGGAGAGUCGGCCGGCGCGCUCGGUGUCCCGAGGCUGUCGUUCCUGGGAACAUCCGCGUUCGCGCACGUGAUGCGAGAGGCGUUCGUGCGCGACAAGCCAGGAUGUGGGCCUCCGCAGUGCGACGCUACAGGCGGCGCCACGGGCACCUACACGGUGCCGGAGUUCCCUCACGUCCAGUUCCUGCUGGCCGAUAUCCCCCCGCUGCCCCUGCCGGCGAUAGUCCUCGACGCAAAGAUGGCGAUGGCGGUCGCCGGGAGCCGCGGCGUGAUCAUGAACACCUUCCACCACCUCGAGAGCAGCUACAUCGAUCACUGGGACCGGCACGUCGGGCCCAGGGCCUGGCCCAUCGGCCCCUUGUGCCUAGCCCGGCAACCUUCUUCCACCGUCGUCGGCGAAGUCCAUAACUCCAAGUCCUCAUGGCUGCGGUGGCUGGACGAGAAGGCAGCCGCCGGCCAGUCCGUGCUCUUCGUCGCGCUCGGGACGCUGUUGGCGGUGUCGGACGAGCAGCUCAAGGAGGUGGCGCGAGGGCUGGAAGAGGCAGAGGUGAACUUCCUGUGGGCCGUGCGGGACGAUAGUUCUGACCUCGGCAUAGGAUUCCACGAGCGCGUCCAAGGAAGGGGCAUGGUAAUGGGAGGGUGGGUGGACCAACCGGCCAUCCUCCAGCACGACUGCGUGAGAGGAUUCCUAAGCCACUGCGGAUGGAACUCGGUGCUGGAGAGCAUGUGCGCCGGCGUGCCAUUGGCGGUGUGGCCAAUGAUGUUUGACCAACCUCUCAACGCGAAGCUGGUUGUUGAUGAACUUAAGGUCGGUGUCAGGGUCAGGUCUACCGGAGGGUUGGUCAAGGGUGAGGAGGUUUCGAGGGCGGUGAGGGAGAUAAUGUUAGGGGAGACAAGGGUGUCGGCGGUGAAGAACGCGGCGGUUCUGGCGGGGCAGGCACAACACGCCAUGUCCGCAGGUGGUUCGUCGUGGAAAAUGGUGGAGGAGAUGAUUAGCGAGCUGUCUGGGCAGCCGACAGACAAGGCUAGCAGGGCACACGUUGGUGGCAAGUAG
This 1455-nucleotide ribosomal RNA is filed under the name Triticum aestivum (bread wheat). RNAcentral describes it as "partial small subunit ribosomal RNA". Lineage: Eukaryota; Viridiplantae; Streptophyta; Magnoliopsida; Poales; Poaceae. The record is from RNAcentral.